RNAcentral lists this ribosomal RNA (525 nucleotides) under uncultured bacterium. RNAcentral's name for it is "bacterial SSU rRNA". It matches the Rfam family "Bacterial small subunit ribosomal RNA", at positions 1 to 507 of the family's 1533-position model. The record is from RNAcentral.
ACAAAAAGUACUAUCAAUUAAAUAAAAUGGUAGAAACAAAAGAAUAGCGAAGAAGAAGCAAAUGCGCUUCACGCUAAUUCCAAGUACCAACACAAAACAAAUUCAAUGUUUGGUGAAGCAACUUGCUUAGUGGCGGACGGGUGAGUAACGCGUGAACAAUCUGCCCCGUACAAAGGGAUAGCCUCGGGAAACCGGGAUUAAAACCAUAUAACACUUAACUGCCGCAUGGUAGUGAAGUCAAAUCGAGUAAGAGGUAUGGGAUGAGUUCGCGUCUGAUUAGCUAGUUGGUGAGGUAAGGGCUCACCAAGGCGACGAUCAGUAGCCGGCCUGAGAGGGUGAACGGCCACACUGGAACUGAGACACGGUCCAGACUCCUACGGGAGGCAGCAGUGGGGAAUAUUGCACAAUGGAGGGAACUCUGAUGCAGCGACGCCGCGUGAGUGAAGAAGGUCUUCGGAUCGUAAAACUCUGUCCUUGGUGAAGAAAAGGACGGUAGCCAAGGAGGAAGCCCCGGCUAACUACGUG